RNAcentral lists this non-coding RNA (30 nucleotides) under Rattus norvegicus (Norway rat). Lineage: Eukaryota; Metazoa; Chordata; Mammalia; Rodentia; Muridae. The record is from RNAcentral.
GACUUUGACUUUUCCUUUCUUGUCCAAGAA